Molecule: ribosomal RNA, 466 nt
Filed under: uncultured bacterium
Lineage: Bacteria
Description: partial 16S ribosomal RNA
Rfam family: Bacterial small subunit ribosomal RNA
Source: RNAcentral
ACGAACGCUGGCGGCGUGCUUAACCCAUGCAAGUCGAACGGAAAGGCUCCAGCUUGCUGGAGUACUCGAGUGGCGAACGGGUGAGUAACACGUGGGUAAUCUGCCCUGCACUCUGGGAUAAGCCUGGGAAACUGGGUCUAAUACUGGAUAUGACCUUUCUCCUUAUGGGGUUUGGUGGAAAGUUUUUCGGUGUAGGAUGAGCCCGCGGCCUAUCAGCUUGUUGGUGGGGUGAUGGCCUACCAAGGCGACGACGGGUAGCCGGCCUAAGAGGGUGAUCGGCCACAUUGGGACUGAGAUACGGCCCAGACUCCUACGGGAGGCAGCAGUGGGGAAUAUUGCACAAUGGGCGGAAGCCUGAUGCAGCGACGCCGCGUGAGGGAUGACGGCCUUCGGGUUGUAAACCUCUUUCAGCAGGGACGAAGCGUAAGUGACGGUACCUGCAGAAGAAGCACCGGCUAACUAUGUG